This 469-nucleotide ribosomal RNA is filed under the name uncultured bacterium. Its description in RNAcentral is "SSU rRNA". It matches the Rfam family "Bacterial small subunit ribosomal RNA", at positions 26 to 518 of the family's 1533-position model. The record is from RNAcentral.
AGGAUAAACGCUGGCGGCGUGCCUAACACAUGCAAGUCGAACGUCUCUUCUUUCGGGAAGAGGAGUGGCGGACGGGUGAGGAACACGUGGGAACCUGCCCUCAGUGAGGAAUACCGGCGAGAAAUCGCCGACAAGACCGCAUAGCCUCUCUGGUGAGAGCCAGAGAAGGAAAGCUUCGCAAGAGGCGCUGGAGGAGGGGCCUGCGUCCGAUUAGCUAGUUGGUGGGGUAAGAGCCUACCAAGGCGUCGAUCGGUAGCUGGUCUGAGAGGACGAUCAGCCACACUGGGAUUGAGAACGGCCCAGACUCCUACGGGGGCAGCAGUGAGGAAUUUUCCGCAAUGGACGAAAGUCUGACGGAGCAACGCCGCGUGCAGGAGGAAGGUUUUCGGAUCGUAAACUGCUUUUCUCGGGGACGAGCAAGGACGGUACCCGAGGAAGAAGCCCCGGCUAACUACGUGCCAGCAGCCGC